UGCACGACGACGAGGUGACGGUCAC
This 25-nucleotide non-coding RNA is filed under the name Drosophila erecta. RNAcentral also lists the same sequence under 2 other names. Lineage: Eukaryota; Metazoa; Arthropoda; Insecta; Diptera; Drosophilidae. The record is from RNAcentral.